UACGUAGGUGGCAAGCGUUGUCCGGAUUUACUGGGCGUAAAGCGCGCGCAGGCGGUUUCUUAAGUCUGAUGUGAAAGCCCACGGCUCAACCGUGGAGGGUCAUUGGAAACUGGGGAACUUGAGUGCAGAAGAGAAAAGCGGAAUUCCACGUGUAGCGGUGAAAUGCGUAGAGAUGUGGAGGAACACCAGUGGCGAAGGCGGCUUUUUGGUCUGUAACUGACGCUGAGGCGCGAAAGCGUGGGGAGCAAACAGG
This 253-nucleotide ribosomal RNA is filed under the name uncultured bacterium. RNAcentral's name for it is "partial 16S ribosomal RNA". It matches the Rfam family "Bacterial small subunit ribosomal RNA", at positions 524 to 776 of the family's 1533-position model. The record is from RNAcentral.